UCUGAAAGUAGUCUUCACCUGGCUGGCACAGUCACACUGUUUGUGGCAACUUGGUAAGUCUCUGAAGAGAUGAGAAACAUCUAUUUGGUACAGCAAAACCUUGAGAUUUUUGAGAAUGGCUGUAUUCUGUAUGCAGAGCCUGAAGAGUGGAGAGAGAGUGGAAGGGGGUGUGUGCGUGUGUGUGGUGUUCGGGGAGGACUUUCUGCAUGAGGGGAAAACUAUAGCUACUGGCUGUAGGCAUGUAUCUAAAGUACGUCCUGGGAUCACCUUUUUUCGUGAUUUGUACUUUACUGUAUCUGAGAUUUUACACAAAGUCGAACUUUGCAACCUAAAUCUGCCUCUACGGAGAGUCGUUCUUUGCUUACUGUGUCUCAAAAACUUUAGUUGAGAUAAAGGGCACUGUCACGUUGAGCCAUUUGAAAGACAUAAGUUUAUUUGACUGCAAUGUCCUUUUACUGUAUUACUAUCUUUGCAUAUACAGAGAAAUUUCUAAAAUCUGUUUCAGAUCAGCUCUUUGGGUUUCUUGUUCCCUUCUUCCCAUCCACAGCCCUUCAUAUAGCAAUUCAGUAAUAAAUGCUCUCCUAAUAAAAUCUCUCAAAAUACAGCUUAUGUAAGUUUAUUAGCUGAAUGUGUAUGAUAUGAAUGAAAAUGUAUUUUAGUAAAUGCAUUACAGACACACAGCUUUUUCCCCGUUUUUCCCUUCCCUAUCCCCUCACAUUUAUCCGCCUGUUGGUGUGCUAUACUCCUGUGACCUUUUGGCAGCAAGUGGGGUCACUGUGUGGCUGCAGCUGGGGCUUUAAAGAGCUCCUUUUGUAUCUUCACUGCAAACUUUCAAACGGACCUCCUGCUGAUUGUAGCCAUUUUGUCUAUUUUUAAUUGUUCCUGCAUAUUUGGAAUUUUUAAUUGUUUCUGGAUGUUUUAAGAUACUUUAAAAAAAAAAGAAAAUAAAGGCCAUUGCCAUUUUAAAAGAGCACACAUGCAAGCUGUGAACAUCCAUUCAUGUGAGAAAGCAGAGAUGGGGGGUUUCUUGCAGACAGGUGUUCUUACAGAGCACAUCCUUUCCAGAAUGUUACAGUCCUACUGAACUUAUUGACUUGAGCUGCAGCUGCAGAGCAAUGCUGCUGAAAGUUUGGUCCACAACAGGCUUUUAAGGGGGCAUUUAAAUCUGUCAGAAGAGGUACAAGCACAGGGCUUGCAACUGGACACCCAAAACCCACCUUCAAGUUAAGUUUUGUGGUUGAGUGCAGCAUUCCUUAACACGUACAUCUCCAAAAGGACUUGCAGCCCUACAUUUUAGAUACUUGUAAAUGAACUCCUGGUUAUAAAACCGGUGCAUUUACAUGGACCACCUAGUAACACACACCAUCAGAAACGGUGUACGCUCACACACUGCUAGCAUUUAGUCUCAUCUCUUUGUGUCUUCAUCAGUUCUAGUUUUCACAACUCCUCUGACAGAAAGCACAGUUCUGUUCAGCUGUUGCACACAAAAAGUGGUUAUUUUUGGAAAAAAAUGGGUUUGCUAGGCAAGGGUUAACCUGUGGCCAGGGGAGGUGAAGGUUACAACAGUCAGAAUAAUGAGCAAUGGCAUUGCAGCACACAUUAUUGUGCUCACAUAUUAUUCAAUAUUUAAAGAUCUGGUUAUUACAACAUACAAUUCAGUUCCUUUGUGUUGCCUCAGUGGGUUUGCCUCUCUGAGGAUCAACAACAAAGAGGCUGACUCCAGGCUUUUGCCUCUAAGUACAAUAAUGUAAGUUGUUUUCUACAGCAAUCUUCCAAGCUUCAGUGCUGUGAGUAGGAGAAGAUGUAGCAUGGAGUGUAUCCAAAAUAGGCUGUUCGGCAUGUGUGCUUAAAACUAUAAAGAAAGUGAUGCUAUCUAAUUACAAACAUCAUUGAUUCUUGCAUGUGUUGCUUAAGAUGUCUCAAUGCAGUCCUUCUUCCAAAAUCUCCAUAGUUUGCAUAGUAAACAUCUGUUUAUGUCAAGCACUGGUGGCCACUCUUGCCUAUUUCAACUUUCCCUGUCUUCACAACUUUGGGAUAAGGUUAGGUGCAGAGUCCACCAAAGAGUGUAGCUUCAGCUAAUACUAAGGAAGCACAUGGGACUGCAGGUAGUUAGUCAGAUGUAAGGAGACAAUCCACAGUCUGGUCUGGAGUCAGCACAACAACUUUAGUCUCCUUGUAGAACAACAGGUGGAAAUGGACCAGAGAUUGAGGAAUCAGGCAUGUUUUUUUCCCAGUUCUCUUUAGGCUAAGCUGGUGGACUUCUAAUACCUGCACUGUCUUCUGAUCAGACUAGUACUCCUUGUAAGCGGCCUCUUUCUUUUCCUCGUAACAAUGAACAAUGACAUGCCUAGUAAGUAACUUGCAUAUGGAGAUGAGAAUUUGUAAGUCCACUGUCCUUGCUGCUGAAACAGAUCAAGGACUUUUAAGAGAACUGCAAUUCCCUUUCUUCAAAAAUGUCAACCAGACUCAUAAUGAAACUUUUCCGGAGAAAAAUGAAAGAGGGAGGACUAAAGGGCUAAGGACAUGUUUACAGUAUAUAGAUGUUCUCAACGUACUAACCAUGGACACGGUUUUACAGAAUCAGACUUUCUACUUAAAGCUAGUCCACAGGCUUCUGCCCAAAAAUUUUUAUUAGACUGGGAAGGUCUUCAACAGGAAAGUUUUUAAAAAACUACAGCUUGCCCACAAAAUAUUUCCAUUUCUGAGGCCUAAUAUUUUUCCAUAUGAAACAAUCUUCCUUGGUUUGUUCUGUUUUGUUGUACUUUCCAGGAGCAAUCUUUGUUAGCCCUUAACCAUCAGAAGGAACUAAAAACAUUCCAGUUCUAACAUCAGCAGCUGAAAUGCUCUUGUCAGGCAGUUUAGAAAUACUGAAGGGGGAGAUUAAACAUGAAAUAAAUGAAAGGGGCAGGAGUAGAGACAGGUGAAGGAGGGGGAAAUAGCUGCCCAGCCUUUCUGUUUGGUAGGAAACAGAAGACCACUGAGUGCGCGCUUUCUCUUGCUGCAGCACCUUUUUUUCUUGGCUUGUCAUGUUUUCUCACUGCUUAACCUUGCUCAAACUGCCUUACUGUGAGUUAGAGAAAUUUCGCCUCCAUCUCCACUGCUCUUCAGGGCAAUCUGUUGAUUCUUUUUCAGGUUUUUUUUUAGUCAUGCCCCCUUAAGCCACCAGUGAAAUAAGAGAUAUCCCCAGACAGGAAAUAGGGAAAGGAACACAGGUGGCUUUGGUUGUGGCAUCUCUGUUGGCUCUUCAGAAGAUGGAGGUAAGACGAGGCAACAUGAAUAAGUAAAAUACAUGUGAGACCCUCUUCUUGUGCCUUUAAAAAAAUUCCUUCCAAUGUACCUGAUCGAAGAUUUAUGAUUUUUUGAAAGGUAUUUAUCAGUAUGGUUGUGUAGGGUUAGAGUGAACAAGGCCUACAAGAAAGAUGAAGAGAGACUAUUUACAAGCACACCUAGUUACAGGACAAAGGGGAAUGGCUGCAGAAUGAAGGAUAGUAGGUUUAGAUUAGACAUUAGGAAGAAAUUCCUGACUGUGAGGGUAGUGAAGCCUUGGAACAUGUUGCCCAGAGAAGUUGUGGAUGCCCCAUUCCUGGGGGCACAAGUUGGAUGGAGUGAAAGGUGUCCCUGCCCAUGGUGAGAGGGUUGGAACUAGAUCAUUUUGAAUAAAGGUCCCCUGCAACCCAGGACAUUAUAUGAUUAUAUGAUUCCCUGAUCAUAUCUGUAUUUUGAAAGAAAAUGUUAGGGGAGAAAGUUCAGUCCAGGUUUCUGGAGCAUCUUGGUUUACAGAAAAUAUAUUCGCAAGGUGGGAACCCCAAUAAGAUGAAAUUCUUCCCCUUUUAUUUCCCUCUCCCAAUAUAAAAUAGAGACAAAAAAUGAAGAGUAUAAGUGAAAAAAUAACUAUUUAAUAAAAGAAAAUACCAAUAACUGCAAAAACACGGGGGGAAAUGGUUUACUCACGAGAGCAAAGAUCCACCAAAAACACGUGGUGCCCCCUAUCUUCCCGGAACAAAAAGGGAAAACAAAGACAGUGGAGCCUCUUUCCCGCCGAACCACACCGCCCCUCCCCCCCAUCCACUCAACCAAACAAAAGAAAACAAAGGGAGAACAGGGGCAAAAGUGAAAACCCAGGAAAAAACUGCUGCCCACAAGGACCCACCCUAGCAAACCGGCCCCUCCACACCACCUGGUUAGGUUCAGGUCUUAACUGAUGUGGUGAUACCAGUUCGGAGACUUUUUGUUCCCUGCCACGUGUUGUCCCACUUGGCUUGGCUGGGCUACCUUGGGAGGUAGUGAUUUUGUUUCACUUUCGCUGUCUCUGAUGUGGUGGUCCCGGCCCUGGCAGGGGUCCCGGCCCGGGCAGCAGUUCCAUUCGGCGAGCGGCGUGCCGGGGGCCGCGGCCAUCGGGCGGGGGCGAGCAGCGAGCCGGGCGGCAGCGAAGAGGCGGGGCGGGGGCCAGGACCCCGGCAGAGAGAGCGUGCCGAACCGACUUCAGAGCAUUCACACUGCUGCCACGACCGACGCAAUAAGGGCUGUUUCCUGUUCCUGCUCCUGCUUUAUUUUCUGUCCUCGACGCCGGGAGGAACCGCCUUUCGGCAGCUCCUGGACACUGGAAAAACUCCGACCUGUGCAAACCCUCUCUCCCCUCCCCGUCAGCUCCCUCUUUUGGGGGGGAGGUGCGGCCCCUGGCCCCCUUCAGAUGACAUAAUGGUAUGAAUAUUCAUCGUUAAAGUUUUCUCCCCAUUUUGUAACUAUAACAUGGAGCCAAACAGAUCAGGAUAUAGUUUACAAAUCCCAGGAAAGUUGUUAUCCGAAUGAGUGACUACAAGGAUUGCUCAUGGCCAAUAUUUCUACUUGCACUAUGUAAGAACAAGGCUUAUGUUCUCCUCAUGCAUCUCAGCAACACUUUCUUCAUGCAAGAGCAACUGCUGCCAUUCUGCCUGAGCAGUGAGAUGUGUCAAUAAUAGCCACCAUAAGCAGAAGAUAAUCCAUCAGCUACUACUGUGAACUUGAGUAUAUCCCAAGCUGCACUGGUCAGCAUGGGCUUGCAAACAGAGGAGCCAAUGUGCAAAUCAGUUGAGUCAUGCUACAUCUCUGCUGGUGAACCUUGUGAAGAAACUGCAGACAAAUUUAGGAAUAUCCUUUCAGUCUUCCAUGAACUCGUCUUGUCAGGGCAUGUGCUGCUGCAGGAAUCAUGAGGUAAGAGGCUGGACUCACCACCAAGACUGUCCGUUCUGCUGAAUUCAGCCACGUAACAUACUCUGAAUGUGAUAUCAAGAGCUGUUUUGUUUUCUUUGUAAUGUAUGUUGUAUGGCCACAUGGCCUGCAAGUCCAGACUGAAAAAAGAUCUUUAAAUAUAUGAAACAAACCACUUGCAAGCAGGCUGCAAUUUAAAGCUCUGUAUAAAUAAGCGUAACUUAUUGAAACAACUUCACAUACCCAUUACAAUGGGAAAACUGUUGUCUUAUAGAUAGAAGUUCAAAACAGGAAGAGAUUGAAUGAAUAUUGUUACGGGUUAGUCACUUUGUCUUAUUGCAGACACCUUUAGUAACUAGAAAUAGAAGAGGCUUUGACAUGUCACACACAGAGGCAGUAUCUUGAAAUAACUCUCAAAAUAAUACUUUAGCUUUGAUCCUGCCAGUAUGAAACAACUCCAACUCAUUUCCUAAAAUAUUGGACACUGCAUGACCUUGUUUAUGUAAGCCACAAAACAUAACUCUAAUAAGUACCGUGGGCAACAAAAGUAAUUUCAUCACGAUUUACAGAUUUACAGACAUUCGUCAUGGCUUUUAUUGGAGAAAAUUAGGAUGACUUAUGGAGAUAAUUCCACAUGCCCUGUGUGUCAGCUGCAUGUAUUAGUGUAUUAGCAAACUUUUUGAAGGCUUACCUAAUGAUAGAAAGACCACCUGAAGUGCAGUGCAAGCAAACACUUUCCUGCCCUCUCCUGCUGAGUCAGUGCACAGCAUUUGUUUGCAUAUUUGGAGUGUGUCAUGGUUUAACAGCAACUAAGCAUCAUAAAGCCACUUGCUUAGUCCUCCCUAGUGGAAUGGGUAAAGUGAAAGAACUCCUGAGUUAAGAACAGUUUAAUAGGUAGAGCGGAGUCUACCCAUAAAGCAAAGCAAAACAAGGAAUUCAGUCAUCACUUCCCGUGGACAGGCAGGUGUUCAGCCAUCCCCAGAAAGCAGUGCACCAUCAUGUGUAACUGUGACUUGGAAGACAAAUACCCUCAUUUCAAAUGCCCCCUUUACUCCUUUUCCCCCUCUCUUUAUAUACUGAGCACAGCAUCAUACGGUCUGGGAUAUCCUUUGGGCCAGUUGGGGUCAGCUGUUCUGGCUGUGUCACCUCCCAACUCCUUGUGCACCCUCUGCCCAUUCUCUGGUGGGGUGGUAUGAGUAGCAGUAAAGGCCCUCACACUGCUCAGCAGUAAUAAGAACAUCCCUGAGUUAUCAACACACUUUUCAACAUGAGUCUAAAACAUUAACGCUAUCCCAGCUAAAACCGGCACAGGAGAAGAACCUGACCUAAACACGAAGCACUAAUCUUAAGAGUUUUAUGUUCUCACUGCAAAUGGGGCUGUGGUGAGAAGUCUCUGCAGUGGCUGAAUCUUAAACAUUCUUACUUGGCAGCAUCUUUGGGAGAGAUUGUCACAAAUAUUGUCCAAGAUGCCACUUUUUUUAAAAGUGUAUUUGGGUAGAUAGAGGAGGCCCUUGAAUUCUGGAGAAGAAUUAUGGCUUUGAAGAUGCUUCUUGAGAUGUAGGAGAUAUAAUGAGAAAUUUUUAACAUGCAGCAUGCCCCGAAGUGCCUACUGGUCUGGGCAACAAAUCCUGUUUUAAAAUAAUUCUUCUCCUGACUCAGGUCUGAGAAGCUCUAUCAACAGUAGCAACGUUGGGAGCUCAUUAGUGCUAUCUAUUAUUAGUAUUUCAAUAUUUGACAAAUAAAAGGGUUCAACAAGAAA
Long non-coding RNA from Pseudopipra pipra, 6946 nucleotides. RefSeq lists it as uncharacterized. NCBI's taxonomy places the organism in Eukaryota, Metazoa, Chordata, Aves, Passeriformes, Pipridae. The transcript is spliced from 2 exons. The record is from RefSeq and is a predicted model, not a curated record.